UUCCUAUCGACUCUUGGAUGGCAUUGGCUUUGGAACGCCAUUCGGGAGUGAGACUCCGCAGGAUUUUUCGAACAAGAUCUUUGUUCGAAUAUACUUUCGCAAGAGCAUGGAGAUCGUUGAUGAUCAUUGAGAAUCGAUCAAACAUAUCAUCGAUGCUUUCAGGCUCCUUCAUUCUAAAGAGUUCAUAUUCAUGUCUUAGAAAAUCAACUCU
Molecule: long non-coding RNA, 211 nt
Filed under: Nicotiana benthamiana
Lineage: Eukaryota; Viridiplantae; Streptophyta; Magnoliopsida; Solanales; Solanaceae
Description: long non-coding RNA (NBEN_LNC038991)
Source: RNAcentral